GAUAUGCAUAAAACCAUUAUAUUUCAUGACACUGCAUGAAAAAGAAAUUGACUUAUCGCAUAAUACCAGAACCAGAGACAUAUAUAUAUUGUAUCUAAUAUCUCUGCCAGAACUAAAAAAUAAACUACAGUAAGUCCACAUACACAUAAGAGGGUAUGGAUGUGAAUUAACAGAAUAGAGAACAAAGGACAAAGAAAAAAAAGGAAUAAAGAAUAGUGAAAGAAAGAGAAUAAUGGAAAAAAGUGUAAGUUAUUAAAAAUAUAACUAAAAAAAGAAGACAGAAAAAAAGACACCCCUCCGAGACGAGCCUUACAUGCACUGUUAUUACCCAAGGUUAAUUUUACGGCGGCUCAUUUUAUUUUGGCUUAGAAAUAAACAUAAUUGACAAGUUUCCUUCCCCUGCAUUCUCGAUCCCACAUGUAAAUAGCACGGUGAUUUUCAAAAAGACAUUGAUACAUCAUUACAACACACACUUGCCGUCAGUAUUUGAAAUAUAUUGAUUAAGAAGGUAUAGAAGAUUAAUGCACGCACACUAUUAUCCACCACUGGCCUAAAUAGUUAGUCCGCAAACAACGAGAGGGUAAUAAAAACCCAGCACUUUGAACACAGCCACCGGCAUGGUGUGAAUCUGAAAGCUUCCCACUAUCCAUUUCUACCCAUAGAAAACUUUUGCCUUUCAUUUAUCAAAAAUGAAAUAUGUUGAUAUUAAUGGUAUAUAAGAAUUAUUGGGGAAUUCAAACCAUUCCUAUUGUAAGUGAUAAAACUAAAUUUAUAUCAGGGUGAUUGAAAUGAGGAAAAAAAAGGGGGGAUCAGGAGUUCAGGGCCCCCUGUUUGGGAAAAGAAUUGGUUGAUUAUAUAUGGAAUCACUGAGUCAUGGCAGGAGCAGGCCCCUCUUAGGCAGUCGGUGGGCCCCACUUAUGAAAAAUUCUGGAUCCACCACUGUGGUCAGGGUGGUCUUCAGUUGUAUUAUCUUUUUAAAAAAAAAAUUACACCUGUAUAGUGUAUAUUCUUUAGUGUAAAUCAAGGGAAAAUACUGUGAACUAUCUGUGCAUUGGGGCUUAUUAAAAGGUAUUUCGGGGGGGGAAGAAAGAAGGGAGGGUGAGUCCAUGGGAGGUAAUCCCCACCCCUUUCAAUUUGAGAAUAUGCUAUUAUCUUGUAAACGGUCCAGAUCCCCAUCCCUAAACCAUAUAUAUUCUUGAAUGGGACGAUAAAACAAAUCAAAUGAAAUUAAAAGGAGGUCUUUUGGGGUUUCACCACUCUGUUCAAUUUGAGAAUGUGCUAUUAUCUUGUGAACGAUCCAGAUCCCCACCCCUAAACCAUAUAUAUUCUUGUCGGGGACAAUAAAAUUAAUAAUGAAAUAAAAUAAAAGUGAAGUCCCACCCCCUCUAGUUUGAAAACUUGUAAACGGUCAAGAUCCCCACCCCUAAACCAUAUUUUAUAUAUUCUUGUAUAGAACAAUAAAACAAAUAAAAGGAAAUAUAGGGAGAGUCCAUGGGGUUCACCCCCACCCCCACAUGUUUGAGAAACUUUUAAAUGGUUGAGAUCCCCUGUCAUCCAGUGGUUAGGUGAAAAAAUUUCAGGAUCCCUGAUCCCCACCGUCAAACCAUAUAUAUUCUUGUAUGAGACAAUAAAACAAAUCAAAUGAAUAUAGGAUCAUCCCCUUUGUCUUGGGUUGGGAACCCCCCUUUUUAAAAUGGCUGGAUCCGCCCCGGCAUACCAUCUAGCUAGCUAUAAAGGCUUUAAAAAUAUGAAAUCAAACAAGGAAAUUAACAGUGUAGGCAACUGUUUUGAAUUUAAAAAAAAAAAGUCUUUUACAUAUAUAACAAUGUUAAAUUUUUUGUGCAUUUAUUUUUGCUUAUCGUAUUUUCAAUAAUGGACAAAAUUGCAUGAUUGAAUAUUGUAAUUUAAGAAAAAUCAGCAUACAUGAUAUAAAAUGGGAAGUGGAAACUGGGAAUUUGACAAAGAGACAACAACCCAAUCAAAGAGCAGACAACGGCCGAAGGUCACCUAUGGGUCUUCAAUGCAGUGAGAAAAAUUCGGCACUGGUCUUCAGCUCAUAAAUAUGUAUCAGAAAUGAAAACGAGAUACAGCUUUCAGUUGUAUUAAUAAAAACCUCACAAUAAGUUCUGAAUAUCAGAAUAUACAGUAUUGCAAGAUUCUCUCAAAAUGUACACAUAGAGCUGAAAAACUGUCAGUGACUGUAAAAUUAAUCAUGCUAACAUUAAAGUCCAUGGAGUCCAUCUUAAUAUGCAUACUCUCGUACAAAGGAAUAUAAGUAUGCAAUAGACAUCAAGUUUUCAAAAAUAAGAGUAUCUAUGCCAUUAAUUUACGACAAGAUCUUAAUCAAGUAAUAAUUUCGGUUUGUUUAAAUAUUUCGGAGGUUAGUAUGACCUCCUCUUUGGUGAUGAUGUUUUCGUUUUAAAGUUGGGAAAAUUGUUUGUACAUGUACCAACAAAAAUAAAAACACAAAGUCAAUCUAGAAUUAUGUUUUUAUCAUUUUUUUAUGUUUAGGUUGUCAGCAAGAUGAAAAGGACAAGUAUGCAGUUCAAAAUUCAAAAUGUGGAUAAGUUGAGGUUCUAGGUCUUACCUUUGCAGAUUUUCAUAUUUUGCAUGAAUGAAAUCAAAGGUUAUAUGAUGGACAGCAGAGAAAGAAAAAAACAACUUUUCAAUUAUCCUGCUCCUGGAUAAAUGUAAAACAUCUUGUUUUUCGGUAAGUUUUAUGCUCUGUUUUGAUAGUGUUAGUGCAUUCAUCUUUCCAGUCUUUCCUCUAAAUUGUAAGUUUUUGGUGAGUGUUCACCAUGAAUUUCAGUAAGUAACUUGUGGAUUUACAUGUAUAUACUCAAAAUUUAGUACUAAUAUUAAUGGGAUUUUAGCAUGACAUCCUGCCAAAUGCUUGUUAAUCAUGUUUAUGUUCCAGAACAAACAAGUAUUUGGACUGUACGCUUGCCCAAUUUUAAGAAGUUGGUCAAGUUUAUUACAAACAAAUGUACAGUACAGAUCAACAUAACUGAAAUCUUUAAUAGAUUAAUACAAAAAGUUUAAUUGCAGUUAAAAUAAAAACACAGGUUUGGUCGAGCUGGUACCAGACAGUACAAAUAUACUUAAAUGGUCUGACUGUACACAUAUGGUGGGACUGUAAGUUCUGGACCGUAAAAGUAACAUCCGAAUACUGAUAUGGUCUGGAACAUUUAUACAUGUCUUAAAAUUAAUAUCAAACACAUUGGUGUUUGAUAGAACUAUAAUGUUUUGGGAUAUCAAAAUCAAAAAUAUCCCAUUUUUACUUUUAAUAAAGAAGAAGAUUAUUGAUGUAUGUUUAAAUGUAUAUUAAAAUGAGACAGCAAGCCAACAACACAAAAAAUAAGGAUAAAACAUACAUAUUUUUUUUGUAUCAAUGUUAUAAUUUCCAAUAUGUUCAAGGUAUUUUUUCAUUGAAAUAAAACACAAAUUGAAAUCUGUCUGAACUUCAAAAGCUUAAAGAAAUAUUGUUUCUGUUGUCUGCAUUUUGUAUAAUAUAUUGCAAAUUCUUGUGAAUAAUGGAAUGUUAUUAUAGUUGUCUAAAGUUUUAACAUUGAUCUUUAUACUGUAAAUUCAUAAAUUAUUGCGUGCAUUUAUUAUUGCGAUUCUGUCAUUUUAGACUUAAAUGCGAUUUUAAAUUUUACGAUUUUGAGAAAAAUCCUGUUUAAUCCAUAUAAAAUAUUUCAUAAUGCGAGUUUAAAUUAUUGCGUUUACAACUCCGUUGCAUUUUUCGCAAUAAAAAAAAACUCGCAUUAAUUCCGAAUUUACAGUAUAUAUAUAUAUUAUGUAUAUAACUUGGGAAAAUACCCAAAUGUUAUAAAGAAGAAUAAAUUAAUUGAUUGUUAUAUGGUAUUAGAAUAGGAAGAUGUGGUAUAUUGCUAAUUUGACAACCCUCCAUCAGAGACCAAAGGAUGUAGGCCGUUAGCAACUGAUGACACUGGACAACCUUUAACAAUCAGUAAAAUCCAUACCGCAUAGCUAUUUUUUAUUGAAAAUCAUAUUAUUGCUACAUGUAUGAAAACAAUUUUGUAUAAUCCAUUACUUUAGAUUUUAUUGGUUCUUUUUCAGAAGGAUUGAAAUUCACCACCUAGAAUAAAUGGAGAAAACAUAGAAACAAGACCAGAAUAAAUUCAAAGACAAAAGUUGGAUCAGUUAUUAUUUUCAUCACUCAGUCAAUGAUUUGAAGUUCUUUUAAAUUCAAAAAAAAUAUUGAAACCACAAUAAUGUCAAAGUUCUGUGCUGAAUGUCCAAAAAGUGGACUAUACCAUCAAACAAUGCUGGAUGAUAAGAAACUAUUAAUGUUUUGUGUUGAGGG
This 4330-nucleotide long non-coding RNA is filed under the name Mytilus galloprovincialis (Mediterranean mussel). The record is from RNAcentral. Lineage: Eukaryota; Metazoa; Mollusca; Bivalvia; Mytilida; Mytilidae.